RNAcentral lists this ribosomal RNA (565 nucleotides) under uncultured bacterium. RNAcentral's name for it is "partial 16S ribosomal RNA". It matches the Rfam family "Bacterial small subunit ribosomal RNA", at positions 355 to 940 of the family's 1533-position model. The record is from RNAcentral.
UGGGGAAUUUUGCACAAUGGGCGAAAGCCUGAUGCAGCAACGCCGCGUGAGUGAUGAAGGCCUUCGGGUUGUAAAGCUCUGUCUUUUGGGACGAUAAUGACGGUACCAAAGGAGGAAGCCACGGCUAACUACGUGCCAGCAGCCGCGGUAAUACGUAGGUGGCAAGCGUUGUCCGGAUUUACUGGGCGUAAAGGAUGCGUAGGCGGAUUUUUAAGUGAGAUGUGAAAACCCUAAGCUUAACUUGGGGACUGCAUUUCAUACUGGAAAUCUAGAGUGCGGGAGAGGAGAAUGGAAUUCCUAGUGUAGCGGUGAAAUGCGUAGAGAUUAGGAAGAACACCAGUGGCGAAGGCGAUUCUCUGGACCGUAACUGACGCUGAGGCAUGAAAGCGUGGGUAGCAAACAGGAUUAGAUACCCUGGUAGUCCACGCCGUAAACGAUGAGUACUAGGUGUAGGAGGUAUCGACCCCUUCUGUGCCGCAGUUAACACAAUAAGUACUCCGCCUGGGAAGUACGAUCGCAAGAUUAAAACUCAAAUGAAUUGACGGGGGUCAUAGCUGUUUUUCCU